This 1782-nucleotide long non-coding RNA is filed under the name Triticum aestivum (bread wheat). RNAcentral's name for it is "long non-coding RNA (TAES_LNC020261)". The record is from RNAcentral. Lineage: Eukaryota; Viridiplantae; Streptophyta; Magnoliopsida; Poales; Poaceae.
UUAUAAUAAACUCACAAGUAAAGAACACUUGCAUCUCCCAUCCUGGUACAUCUAACUCACUGAAACCCAUAAGCAAAUCACUCUAUGUAACGCCUAACACUGGUACUUCUAGCUGACAGAGACAUGACCUGCUUAGCUUGGUUAACAACCACUAGGCUAUGCCAAAAUCAGCGAGUGCGCAACUAGCUCCUGCCUCCGGCUACUUCCCUGGAGCAAGGUGUGAGGCGAUCGAAUGCCUCAAGCGCGUGCUGCAAACAUAUUACACAUGGAUCGAGUACAACUUUAUUGACAGCGAUGGCGACCAUGGACGCUGGAAGAAAGACGAUUGGCACGACCUGUAGGAUUCGUCCUGCUAGUGUGGUACAAUGUGGACUUCGACAACACCAUUCAUAUGGCCGGGAGGUACCAACGACCAGUGGAGACGUGGCAGAAGGGAAGAUCGUAGGCUGGAGGUGCGACGCUGGGAGCUUGCUUGCUGGAGCAGCGGGAGAAAGAGAUAUGUUGGAGGGCGGCCGUCCAUGUUUAUGCAUCAGGGAAAGGGGCCAUAGCUGCAGGUGAGAAAGCAAUGUUCAGAAACGUGCUGCUCAUUCACUAAAAUUGAUGGAACUAUUCUAGUCUAAUACUUCACAAAUUUGAAAUCUAAGCAGAGUUUUUGCUGGAACUUACCUCAUGGAAAAUCACUAGAUCCGAGAUCGCACGACUUCUUUCUUUAUCAUAUCUGAACUUCAGAUUAAUGCCUUCCCAUUUUUUGCUCUGGCACACUGUACAAGCUUCAAAUAGUACAUCAGAGAGCAGUAGCACAAUACACAACACUAGAAGAGAGUAGCAGCAAGCUUUUCAUUCCAUUAGGAAAUUGAUGAAAAUAAUGAAGAACACUUACUGGAUAAUCAAGAAACAUGGUGAAAAAAUUCAGCGGAAAAAGUAUAACUCAAAUAUCAGUUUUUCACAUUCUACACGGUUAAUUCUUUUUAACAACAUACAGAUGAAAUUAAUUAAUGAAUCAAAACUCGGAAAGGGACUCUCUUUUAUGCAGAUGUAGACCCAAUCAUUCAUGAUUCUUCUUUAACAUACUAAGAUGACCAACAAUACUGACUUGCAAACAAUAUUGUAGAAACAAACAUCAGAGUUACCCGUUGCUUGGACGAGUACAGCUGAGGCAACAAGUUCAGUUGUACAAAUGGAACAAACAAAACUGUGCUUAUACCUAUUGCGAUGCGCAAGAAAGUCUGACGACGAUGAUGGACAAGCUCGCCGGGAGCAAUAGGCGAUGCAAACAACACACUGAGAUUCAGAGAUAGCGACAAACUCACGUCUGUCAUUAGCACAUCAAGAAGAGAGCAACACAACACGUCAUUUUCCCCUAACGAAAAUUAGAAUAUGAAGUCUCCAAAAGAAAGGGUGUGGCAUGCCAUCCAAAUGGAGCAUCAGAGGCGAGGUUAAUUCAUCAUCUAGCAAUGACCUCUUUGUGGGAGGGAGCACCGUGGAGGCACAGUGUGUCAAAUCCGUCCGGCCGCUACAGUGACAUUUGAACUUCUUGCAGCGGCACCAGCUUCCUGCAGGGGCAUGGCGGAGGAGAACUGCAUGGCACGUGAGAGGCGGGAUCAGGAGUAGCUCCAGGAUGGAAAGGGGUGUAAAGGUGGAGAAGGUCAGGGGUGAAGGGUCACCGGGGCGACGCACUGGUGCGAGAAGGCAUGGCGGCGCUCGGACGGUGCGUGGCUGCGAGAAGGAAGACGACGUUCAGUAGCAGCGAGGCAUCUGGCGACGACCACAACUAGGCGGGGG